CAGUAGCCGCGGUAAUACGUAGGGUGCAAGCGUUAAUCGGAAUUACUGGGCGUAAAGCGUGCGCAGGCGGUCCGCUAAGACAGAUGUGAAAUCCCCGGGCUUAACCUGGGAACUGCAUUUGUGACUGGCGGGCUAGAGUAUGGCAGAGGGGGGUAGAAUUCCACGUGUAGCAGUGAAAUGCGUAGAGAUGUGGAGGAAUACCGAUGGCGAAGGCAGCCCCCUGGGCCAAUACUGACGCUCAUGCACGAAAGCGUGGGGAGCAAACAGGAUUAGAUACCCGUGUAGUCCCUGUCUCUUAUAC
Molecule: ribosomal RNA, 301 nt
Filed under: uncultured bacterium
Lineage: Bacteria
Description: partial 16S ribosomal RNA
Rfam family: Bacterial small subunit ribosomal RNA
Source: RNAcentral